AAGUUAGUCAGCACGAGUAACUUUGGUUUUGUGUGAUAUAAUUAUGAAGGUAGUAGGCCUUGCUGGCGCCCGAGAGUGUAAGAAAGGCAGGAAAAGUGAGUGGCGAGUGUGUGGGGCGACACUGUACCCUCCCCACGGUUUUGGAGGACAAAGUGAAAGAUGGAGGCGGAAGGAAGGGCCAGUGAGCUGCGUAUGCUUGACCUCUGAGUGGACGUAGGGAAAAAAAAAAAAUGACACGUUUCGGAAAUAACUUGUAUCAUAAGUAGAGAACGUGCAUCCCGUUAAGCAGCCGCGCAUUGCAAGGACACGAGAGUACGUGGUAUGAUCGCAAGUGACACAUCCGGAAAUCAGCGUUUAAUUGCGUGUGUCUUAAUAGAAAAAAAUAGCUGAUUUCCAAAUUAUACAUCAAAGUAUGACCUCGUCUAGUUCAGGAGAGUCCUUCGUAUAAAUGCACUGGUGUGUGUGUGUGUGUGUGUGAAUGUUAUUGCUAGUUAUCUCUCUCUCUCUCUCUCUGUCAGUAGUUGCACAGGUCUUCAAGGGUAUUUUUACGGUUUUAGUGACAGAUUAACAACAUUUCUACAUUAAUAACAGGAGAAACACCAUUGAAAACCCUGAUAAUCAUCUUUAUAGCUUUGAAAAACAGUCGUGAAGAGAGAGAGAGAGAGAGAGAGAGAGAGAGAGUAGGAGCAUUUCAGUUGAGCCUAUUCUGCCCUGGUUCGUGUUUGCUGCGGUGACACGGUGCCGCACUGAGUGAAGAUUGCGUUCAUAAUCACUUAUCAGGGGUGGAGUGGGGAAAGGAGAGUCAGGAAGUGAGGAUAUUUAUAUUAUUUGACAUAUUAUUUGAUAGCAUGUCAACUUUUGUGUGUGUGUGUGUGUGUGUGUGGGUGGGUGGGUGUUGGAUCAGUGACAGGUGGCGCUGGGGAGUUACCACGGCGAGCGGCUGGCUGGCUGCAGUGUUUUGGUCAGCACUGGUCAAUCUUGCCCUACACGCUCUAUUAACCAGUGUUUCCGUCUUCCCGACACCUUCUUCCUGCACCAAGCACCGUCAAGCAUCACCAGAGAGGCACGAGUACGUAAGCUAUCCAACAUCAGAACAGUAUAUGAAUAUGGCAAAUGCUGUUUUGACAUCAUUUCCUGCCAUCCUGAGAAAAAGUGAUCACGAGGAGCAUGAAUUGCAGCUGCAAUGGAAAUUGCGCAUCCAGCGCAAGUUUCAGAAUUCAAGAAAGAGGCAGGAUUCCUCAGUGACUGAGGUGACGUCAAGGAAAAAGAAGAUCCCUUGCAUAGCGCCAAAACAGACUACGUGUCCACUGAUGUAUGGAGUAAAGGCUUAUCUUCCACCAAGGCCCCAUUCAGAAGAUGAUGAGUCAUUAGAGAGACAUAGACAGUGGCUUGCUCUACAUUGGAUGAAGAAAGAUCCCGAGUUAGAUAAGAUAAUCAAGAAGUUUCUGAGAUUAGAACCACAAGCGGAUGAACCAAACCCAAGAGUAGCAGUUUUGAAAGGGCUGGAGAAAUAUAGGCUCCCAAUAAUUGCAAUUCUCAAAAAAAAAGAAAAGCAGUUCCUCUGUAUAUGGAAACCUUACUUGAACUAUAUGACCACGAUGAAAGUCAAUGUGAGUAAUGUCUAGUUCAAUUUGUUCAUUUUGAGUAGCUGGUAGCAAUUUAAUAUAUGUAUCUUUUCAUCAUUAGCAAUGCAUCUUUCACUUUUAUAAGCCUAG
Scylla paramamosain (green mud crab) is the source of this 1715-nucleotide long non-coding RNA. RefSeq lists it as uncharacterized. The transcript is spliced from 3 exons. NCBI's taxonomy places the organism in Eukaryota, Metazoa, Arthropoda, Malacostraca, Decapoda, Portunidae. The record is from RefSeq and is a predicted model, not a curated record.